GCGAACGAUCAGAUGAGUCGUCGAGUCCAAUGCAUUUCAACGAUUCCUCUUCGCUUCAAUUCCACAUCUAAGCUUCGUUCGUCUUCUCCGUCAUUCGGUUCCAGGCGUUGUUUUUCGGAAGCCGAAUCGUGAUUGGGAUGGAGGAAAAUAAGUUCGUGAGGGCUUCUGAGGCAGUUAUUGUAGAUUCCGAUCUGCUGAAGAAGAAACUCGACUCUACGCGCCUUUCAGGAAUGACACCAUCAAAAACUCUCUUGACCGCUACGCUACGAGUGCACUUUUGAUAUUGUCUACGUGAAUGAUGCAUCCAUGCUGGGAGUGGUUAAACUUGUACAACAGCUCUUUCCAGUUGGAGGUGUCUGAGGGACAGACCUUUCUAUACGAAUGUACGCUUGAUUGCACCCCUCGUAGAGCCGCUCGCCCAAAGUGUCUAUGAUGUAGUAAGCAUCCUUGUCAACCUUCAAGAUGAAGAAGUGGUCAUUCCAGC
Molecule: non-coding RNA, 484 nt
Organism: Cucurbita pepo subsp. pepo (vegetable marrow)
Lineage: Eukaryota; Viridiplantae; Streptophyta; Magnoliopsida; Cucurbitales; Cucurbitaceae
Source: RefSeq, a predicted model, not a curated record